Molecule: ribosomal RNA, 438 nt
Filed under: Legionella sp.
Lineage: Bacteria; Pseudomonadati; Pseudomonadota; Gammaproteobacteria; Legionellales; Legionellaceae
Description: bacterial SSU rRNA
Rfam family: Bacterial small subunit ribosomal RNA
Source: RNAcentral
AUGCCGCGUGUGUGAAGAAGGCCUGAGGGUUGUAAAGCACUUUCAGUGGGGAGGAGGAUAGCAUGGUUAAGAGCUGAGCUAUUGGACGUUACCUACAGAAGAAGCACCGGCUAACUCCGUGCCAGCAGCCGCGGUAAUACGGAGGGUGCGAGCGUUAAUCGGAAUUACUGGGCGUAAAGGGUGCGUAGGUGGUUAAAUAAGUUAGAUGUAAAAACCCUGGGCUUAACCUAGGACUGAGAUUUAAUACUGUUUAACUAGAGUAUGGGAGAGGGUAGUGGAAUUUCCGGUGUAGCGGUGAAAUGCGUAGAGAUCGGAAGGAACACCAGUGGCGAAGGCGGCUACCUGGCCUAAUACUGACACUGAGGCACGAAAGCGUGGGGAGCAAACAGGAUUAGAUACCCUGGUAGUCCACGCUGUAAACGAUGUCAACUAGCCGUG